AUAUAUAUAUAUAUAUAUAUAUAUAUAUUUAUAUAUACAAACAAACAACUAGUUUAUUAGGGUUGCAGUCAGAAGGUUGGCCAGGAUGUUAAAGAAACACUCUUUUGACUUUUUGUCUAGCUUUCGGAAUGGUUUUAUUCCUUUUUCAAGACUCUGUAAUAUGGAUAAAAAGAAAUAUGUAAAUUUUUCUAUAAAAUAUCACAAUUCGUCAGUACAACUUACUAGUCGUUGAGAUUAUUCAAAAGCUUUAUGACCCUCAACAAUACUAACACAAACAUAGAAUACAGAAAAUAAUGGACAAAAUACAUUCUAAAAUUUGAUAAGGAUGGUAAAUUUUAUAUUUAUUCUAUGACAUCUUUUGAUGGUGUGUUUUAACUCUGAUACAUAGAGAACAGAAAGAAAAAACAAUCAGAUUAAAAUGUAAUUAGGUGUUCUUAAUAUUGUAUUUAUUUUCAAAAAACCCAAGAGGACCAUACUGGGUAAUUUUUAUUUUUAAAUCUGUCUUAAUGGUAUGCAACCUGUUAUGCACACAGAUGUAUUGUGUAGUGCAUAUGUAUAAUAAAUAUUUAUUUUAUCAAAAAUAAAAUAAAUAUUUCUAUAUAAACAAACAACUAGUUUAUUAGGGUUGCAGUCAAUAAAAAUUUUUCCCAGCCAGAAAUAGUGGAUGUGUGAGUUAUUCGUAAGGGGAUUUUUCCACAUUCUCUAUUUCAUUUGUUUGAUUUCGUACGAGUGGUCGUUAAACCAGUACCAGUGGAUCUUUUGAUCACUGAGUGUGUUUCAAAGAUCUACAUCUUUUGUUUUUUCAUAUAUAUAUAUAUAUAUAUAUAUAUAUAUAUAUAUAUAUAUAUAUAUAUAUAUAUAUAUUAUAUAUAUAUAUAUAGACUGACUAUUUUUUUAAAUGAGAAUUGGGGUCUAGUGCUAGAUUAUUUGAAAGGUUAUUCAAUUCCCUAUUCAGUAAUAUAAACAUUAACGUACCAAUACAGAAGUAAAAACUUCGAGAUGCAUUCUGGUAUAAAAUCGUUUAUUUAAAACUAUAAAAUAUCAUGGAUUGCAAAACGUUUUCGUUCUAUACAGAACAUCUUCAGUGCCUAGAAUGAAGUAUUUCCACGUUAGUUUAAAGCAAAAGGUUCAAAUUGUGACUGUUAAAAUGAAAAAUGUGGGAAUACUUACAUCCUUCCGAGUAGUUUGAAACUAGCACACUGUAAAUAGUGUUAACCUCAUCGUAUAUGGUUUACAUAAUAUAAUAUAUUAAAAUUUUAUGACUACAAGUCGAUGUUGAUUGAUAAAGUGGAACACAUGCUAAAAGGGUGCCAUGGUUCCCUGCUCGAAGAUGCUAGGUACUUGCCAAUUCAAUGGGCACAGACCAACUGAGAAAUUAGGAAGUGGAUAUACAAUUUGACAAGAGUGACAUGACAUGACAAGAUAAAGCCAAUUUUGGUUAAAGUUUCAUUUGAUUUUGGAUUUUUCAAUAAAAUGCAAAGGUUUGUCUGCAAAAAUAAUUUAAAUUAUUUGAAUAAUAAAAUCUACUGUAAAGUUUAAAUUAGCAACUCUCUAUUCCAGAAUAACUUAUAGAUUCAUUAAAUUUAAUGCAGAUAUAUUUCAUGGUUUAAGUUGUGACGUCAUCGAAUGUGAAAUGACGAGAUGAAAGUUGAGUUUUGUUGAAACAAGGAAAUACACUACAUAAUAAAAGAUAAUUAGACUUGCGUGGAGAAACAAAGCUAAACAAACCAAAAAACCAGAAUUUAAAAGUAUUUUUAUGUGAUGUACUGUUGGUUGCCUAACAAGGCAAGCAGGCAACAGGUUGAAGGUAAACGGUAGAAUAUUGCGAGAAAACAGUAUAAUUACCAUGAUUAAUUAUAUAGGGUGUCCAAAAAUUGUUUUUAAAUAAAUUAAUUGUUUAAUUAAUAAUUCAAAUUUUUUUGGACACCCUGUAUAAAUAAUGAUAUUGAUUUUUAUAGUACUGUAUACAGAAUUGAAUAAGCUUUCAAAUGAGCUAGCACACGACCCCUAUUCUCAUUUAAAAAAAUAGUCGAUUACGUCAUCUGCUUUGAUGCUUUUAUACCAUUUAUAUUAGUUAUUUUUUGCACACUAUCUCUUGUGUCUUUUGCAUAUAGAGUAUAUUGGAGUUGUAUUUCUAGUAUAGGUUUUGUAAUAAGAUUUGUUUGUUGGUGGGUAAGUCUUCACUGUCAACAGAGAUAAUAUUUCUGGUUGAUAACAAUUUAACGACAUGAAGUUUGACGAAGUUCCUUUGAAGUGGCUUCCUCCUAUCCCCCAGUUGAUUGGUAGUUACUGCGCGGAAGCUAAGAUUAACGGGUACCUUUCCAUGCUAAUUAGAUAAGAUUUGAAAAUAUCUUCUCUUUUGAACACAUUUUAUUUGUUUAAUUUAUUCUAUAAUAUUAUGUUUACUGCUGCUCUGGUACAUACUCCUAAUCUUACGCUUAUAAGAAUGUAAUAAAAAAUUAAAUAACUAAAAAAACUAAAAAGUAAUAAAAAACAAAACGUUUUACUAUGCAAUUAAUAAAACUAAUAAUUUUAAUUAUAAUUAAAUCAAAUAAUUUAAAAAUAGUUUAUGGUUGCAAAUGUUCUGUAAAAUAUCAAUAAAAUCAUUUAAUGACUUUACCUGAUGACAAAAUUGUGUGUUUUACCGUUACAAAUUGAGUGCUUAGAAGGACUCUCAAAAUUUGCCGUUUUCUUCGUAAAGCAUUGGUUCUGAACUUGUGUAUGCCUCGUGUUACUAAUUAUGAAUUAAUAUUAAGUUUACUAGGUAUGUCUCAGAGCACUAGCACAACCACCACAACGGUUUCGUUGUUAUUGUCAUCAACGUGGCCACUCCCGUAUCAGAUGCCAACUAGUGGGAAGUAUAAAGUAUGGCACUUAAACACAUAACAAAAUCUUAAAUUUACUUAAAAAAUAAAACGCAAUCUAUGUUCAGUUUGCACUUACGUAGAUAAAAGGAAGGGAGGAAGGAAGGAAAGGAAUAAAGGAAGGCCCAGAACGAGAUGGCUGGAUGACGUGCAAGACGACCUGAAAAACAUGAACAUAUAUAUGACAAGAACAUAUGGAGAAGGGCACAAGAGAGAUCUGAAUGGAAGGGAUUAACCAGACAGACAAAAACCCAUCCAGGGUUAUGAUGAAAAAAGAAGAAGAAGAAGAACAAGAUGUGGUCAGAAUAGGACGAAUGAGGGACACUUCAUUACCUACUUUCCAACGAAACGCCCUUUGUCUUAUAAGCGCGAGUUUUAAUUUAAUGUUAAAAUUUGUCGUGGUAUGCUUGAUGAUGAUCAUUAUCAUGAUAAUGUUAGUUGUCCAUAGCCCUAACAUGCUUUUUUAAUAGUUAAGAAUUAUGUACCUACAUAGCGUCACUAUAAUUGGGUUUUUUGCAUUUAUGAACUAAAAUAAAAUAUUUGUUUAUA
Diabrotica virgifera virgifera (western corn rootworm) is the source of this 3413-nucleotide long non-coding RNA. RefSeq lists it as uncharacterized. The record is from RefSeq and is a predicted model, not a curated record. Lineage: Eukaryota; Metazoa; Arthropoda; Insecta; Coleoptera; Chrysomelidae. The transcript is spliced from 2 exons.